GUGAAAGCAGGGUCCCCACAGACUUCUAUCAGGCGCGUUCACGGUCAUAACAAAGCCUACGUCAGCAUGCGCGCUUCACAGAAUGUCCGCCCCCAUGCUUGCCUGGAGUUUCACAUCGCAAUAGGAUUCUCCUCAGGUCUGUGAGGAUGAGAAGGUCUCCACAGUCUGGAGUCUGGUCUCUGACAGGCUCAACAUACCUGUCAAUCAACAGGGACUCCUCUACAAAGGCAAGGCGCUGGCAGGUAGGCUGAACAGCACAGCACAGCACAGCUCACCCCUCCUCUCACCCCUCACCUCAUCCCUCCUCUCACUCCUCGCCUCACCCCGGGUCAGUGUGGCACAGCCUGCCUGCUCUUCUGAACAAACACUUCAGCCCUGCCGACGCAGUGAGAGUCUGGAGCAGCAACACAAGGUAACCUGAACACAAACACACACACACACACAGACACACACAAACACACACACAGUGAGAGGCUGGAGCAGCUACACAAGGUAAAUUGAACACAAUAAACACGGCUACACACACAAUCCUAGCUGCAGCAGAUGUACAAUGUUAUACAGACACACACAGACACAGCUGUACAGUGACACCGAGACGCACACACAAUCACAGCUGCAGCACACACACUCUGAAAUGCAGGUGUAGAGCAGCGUGUAGUUGUGACUCUGUGUCUCUCUCCUCCCCCUCUCCUCUCCUCUCCUUACUUUGUUUAAAAGAAUAGAAGCACACCCAGUGAGCAAGGCAUUGAGCAGCCCCACAUCCCGCUUCACAAUACCGCUACAUAUUGACUGACUGUUCGCAUUGUGUGUGUUUGGUAAGACAAACCACAUUUUCUACUUCUACUUUCUACGAUUGGGCAAGUCAGCGGUUGUUUGAUAACAGAACAUAAAACAUCACAGAGUGGGUUGAACUGCAUUGCUGGAAAUCAAGGCCCUUUAAAAUGUGUACCUUCCCAGCUCAGGUAUUGCUGAGGUAAAGAGACACUUCCUACAGGAGGACAGGACGUUGUCAAGGAGGGGAUGUCGUCACGUGUCCUGAGGGCUUUCUUAAAAACAUUGUUUUAUUAUUUCUAAGCGUACGUUGUUAUUGCCUUUUAGCUCUUGAGCAUAAUAAUCUCAAUCCCGUUUGAAAUGACACUAAGUGCAUUUGCAUGGUGGCAGAUGAGGGAUGUCGCUUCACUCGAGGCUUGCGUACUGAUGAAGAUGUAGUUUCAGUGUUUAAUGCUCAUCCCCUCACUGUGUGUCUGUGUGUGUUCUUGUCUCUCGCCUGUCCUGUGAGGAUGAAGAUGUAGUUUCAGUGUUUAAUGCUCAUCCCCUCACUGUGUGUCUGUGUGUUCUUGUCUCUUGACAGGUCUGUGAGGAUGAGAAGGUCUCCACAGUCUGGAGUCUGGUCUCUGACAGGCUCAACAUACCUGUCAAUCAACAGGGACUCCUCUACAAAGGCAAGGCGCUGGCAGGUAGGCUGAACAGCACAGCACAGCACAGCACAGCACAGCUCACCCCUCCUCUCACGCCUCGCCUCACCCCGGGUCAGUGUGGCACAGCCUGCCUGCUCUUCUGAACAAACACUUCAGCCCUGCCGACGCAGUGAGAGUCUGGAGCAGCAACACAAGGUGAUGAAGUGACACAUUGAAUAUGGGGCCUGAUGAGAGAAGUAUCCUUUUCAUGUGGUUUUGGUUUUGCCGUUGUGAGCAGGUAUGGGAGACAGCACCGUGUCUGCAUGUGAAAUAACAAAGUCAUCGCAGUGGAGGGACUCUCUGAAGGCUGUUGUUUGUGGAUUUGUCUUGUAAUGUGAGUGAUCUACUGUACUGUGAUGCCACUGGCUGUACGCAUGCUGCACUGCAGGGGAGAGACCGCUGGCAUUCACAGGGCAUGCUUGUUCAUUUAAAGCACGCUGCACUGCAGGGGAGACACCGCUGGCAUUCACAGGGCAUGC
Molecule: long non-coding RNA, 1936 nt
Organism: Acipenser ruthenus (sterlet)
Lineage: Eukaryota; Metazoa; Chordata; Actinopteri; Acipenseriformes; Acipenseridae
Exons: 3
Source: RefSeq, a predicted model, not a curated record